Molecule: long non-coding RNA, 105 nt
Organism: Phyllostomus discolor (pale spear-nosed bat)
Lineage: Eukaryota; Metazoa; Chordata; Mammalia; Chiroptera; Phyllostomidae
Exons: 3
Source: RefSeq, a predicted model, not a curated record
UUUACCUAGACAUGAUUUUUGAUCUAGAUAAGGUAAAAUAAUAAAAGAAACCAAAGAGGUUAGGUAAGACUUAGACAAGAGGUCUUUAUAAUUCAAACUUUUUUC